GCAGGCACAGCGGUGCGACGAGAUGCUGCUUCUCAGAGCUGCUGUCCAACCUGCACUCGCGUGGGAACAAGAAGACACUCGUGGAGGCGUCGGCAGAGCAGGCAGACCAAGGAGUUCAUCUUCUCAGAGCUGCUGUCCAACCUGUACUCGCGUGGGAACGAGAAGACACUCGUGGAGGCGUCGGCAGAGCAGGCAGACCAAGGAGUUCAUCUUCUCAGAGCUGCUGUCC
This 229-nucleotide long non-coding RNA is filed under the name Homo sapiens (human). RNAcentral's name for it is "non-protein coding lnc-OR4F6-1:3". Lineage: Eukaryota; Metazoa; Chordata; Mammalia; Primates; Hominidae. The record is from RNAcentral.